CAGCAGCCACGGGAAAACGGAGGGGGCUAGCGUUGUUCGGAAUUACUGGGCGUAAAGCGCACGUAGGCGGCUUUGUAAGUCAGAGGUGAAAGCCUGGAGCUCAACUCCAGAAUUGCCUUUGAGACUGCAUCGCUUGAACGUCGGAGAGGUGAGUGGAAUUCCGAGUGUAGAGGUGAAAUUCGUAGAUAUUCGGAAGAACACCAGUGGCGAAGGCGACUGACUGGACAAGUAUUGACGCUGAGGUGCGAAAGCGUGGGGAGCAAACAGGAUUAGAUACCCCCGUAGUCCCUGUCUCUUAUAC
Molecule: ribosomal RNA, 301 nt
Filed under: uncultured bacterium
Lineage: Bacteria
Description: partial 16S ribosomal RNA
Rfam family: Bacterial small subunit ribosomal RNA
Source: RNAcentral